CCUACGGGUGGCAGCAGUGAGGAAUAUUGGUCAAUGGACGCAAGUCUGAACCAGCCAUGCCGCGUGCAGGAAGACUGCUCUAUGGGUUGUAAACUUCUUUUAUACGGGGAUAAAUCCCAGUACGUAUAUUGUUUUGUACGUAUCUUACGAAUAAGGAUCGGCUAACUCCGUGCCAGCAGCCGCGGUAAUCCGGAGGAUUCAAGCGUUAUCCGGAUUUAUUGGGGUUAAAGGGUGCGUAGGCGGUUCGAUAAGUUAGAUGUGAAAGCGUGGGGCUCAACCCCGGAACUGCAGUUGAUACUGUCGGGCAUGAGUGUAGGUGAGGUAGGCGGAAUGCAUGGUGUAGCGGUGAAAUGCAUAGAGAUCACGAAGAACACCGAUUGCGAAGGCAGCUUACUGAACUACAACUGACGCUGAGGCACGAAAGCGUGGGGAGCAAACAGGAUUAGAUACCCGGGUAGUC
RNAcentral lists this ribosomal RNA (460 nucleotides) under uncultured bacterium. RNAcentral describes it as "partial 16S ribosomal RNA". It matches the Rfam family "Bacterial small subunit ribosomal RNA", at positions 338 to 795 of the family's 1533-position model. The record is from RNAcentral.